RNAcentral lists this long non-coding RNA (467 nucleotides) under Sorghum bicolor (sorghum). RNAcentral describes it as "long non-coding RNA (SBIC_LNC002008)". The record is from RNAcentral. Lineage: Eukaryota; Viridiplantae; Streptophyta; Magnoliopsida; Poales; Poaceae.
UUUCCAAACAUCACACUCUGGUUGAUAAGGCACCGAUUCAGAUAACACACCACCAGUACGAGCUAGAUCGGCCAGAGACCGCAAACGGUCUAGGUGCCUAGCACGCAGCAAAGGGAGGUCUCAACGGUGAAGCCGACAAACAGGUUCGCCGAUAAAUAGGACAGUGAGGUAAGGCGGAUUAGACGCUCGUUCUUCGCCCGAUAUACCCACAAAUACCUUCCGAGAAGACUCAUCAGGGCGAUGCAGGAUGGGGGUGUUCUAGGAUCGGCAAAACCACCUAGAACGUCCACAAAUCCUGUCAAAGGACAUGUACAAAGGGUGGAAGAGAUAUAAGGAGGGUAAAAAAUGGAUAUAAAUAAAUAUAAUAUAAAUAUAAAUAAAUAAACAAAUAAAUAAAUAUAAAUAAAUUGAUUGUUUAGUUGGAUAUUUCUAUCGAUCGUGUAUCCUUUUUUUAUAUGAAGUAGGGG